RNAcentral lists this ribosomal RNA (468 nucleotides) under uncultured bacterium. RNAcentral's name for it is "partial 16S ribosomal RNA". It matches the Rfam family "Bacterial small subunit ribosomal RNA", at positions 28 to 507 of the family's 1533-position model. The record is from RNAcentral.
GACGAACGCUGGCGGCGUGCUUAACAUAUGCAAGUCGAACGGAAAGGCCCUGCUUUUGCGGGGUGCUCGAGUGGCGAACGGGUGAGUAACACGUGAGUAACCUGCCCUUGACUUUGGGAUAACUUCAGGAAACUGGGGCUAAUACCGGAUAGGAGCUCCUGCUGCAUGGUGGGGGUUGGAAAGUUUCGGCGGUUGGGGAUGGACUCGCGGCUUAUCAGCUUGUUGGUGGGGUAGUGGCUUACCAAGGCUUUGACGGGUAGCCGGCCUGAGAGGGUGACCGGCCACAUUGGGACUGAGAUACGGCCCAGACUCCUACGGGAGGCAGCAGUGGGGAAUAUUGCACAAUGGGCGGAAGCCUGAUGCAGCAACGCCGCGUGCGGGAUGACGGCCUUCGGGUUGUAAACCGCUUUCGCCUGUGACGAAGCGUGAGUGACGGUAAUGGGUAAAGAAGCACCGGCUAACUACGUG